This is a non-coding RNA of Rhopilema esculentum, 10826 nucleotides long. The record is from RefSeq and is a predicted model, not a curated record. Lineage: Eukaryota; Metazoa; Cnidaria; Scyphozoa; Rhizostomeae; Rhizostomatidae.
UUUUUCUGGAAUUCAAAAUGUAAUGUCAAGCAUUUCUUUGCAGAUUUUAUUUGGGAAAAUUCGCGAUUCACACGCUGCCUCGGCAAUAACUGCUAGCAUUGACGGAAAGGAUUUUAAUAUAAAAAGUUUUUGUUCAAUUUUAUAGAAGAGAAUUAAACAUUAUGAUAGACUUUGUGACUGCACGCUUGUUUCAGUCUUUUUCUAAGUUUCUUAUUCGCAUUUUUCAUUGCCAUUCCAUGUGUGGAAAUGAAAAGUUAUCAUUUUUACUAAUGUUCAGAAAAAAAGUUUUACAUAGAAUUUACAUUCUAAAAUUUUAAUUUUGUUAUGAUUCAUAACAACUUGUACGCGGUUUUCUUAUAAAGUGAUUGUUAAAAGUAAUAUCUAAAAAUGCGUUUUUUAAGGGUAAGAGUUUCUUAUUUAAAGGUUGUUUAAGGAUUCUACGAGGAGAGUUUCAGGACUUGUUUAAGAGUUUUAAUAGAAGGAUAGACGAAUGAAUAUUGUAGAGCUUUUAUAAGAAGGUUUAAGGAUAGAUCCUUUUUUGUCAAUUGUAUUGUAUCAGAAAAAUCUUUCUAUAUAGAAUUUGACCAAUAAACAUUUGAUGUUAAUUCUUGGCUCCAUUGAAGACAGCAUGGCUUUUGAACUCAGAUUUAAGACAUACGUUUCCCAGAUUAUCCAGAAUAGCACAGAAAGGAUCCUGGAUGUGUGCGGCAGCUAAAUCGAGCACAGAAUAAAAAGUGACAGAGAGGUUAGGCAGGGUUUCAUUGAAAUACCUUGGCAUGUUUCUCCUUUGAAGCCAAGUGCACAGGUGCAUUUGAAAUCACGAUCCGUUUCAACACACUUUGCUCCAUUCAUACAAGGAUGUGAGACGCAACUCAGAGGUACUGAAAUAAGAAUUAUUCUUCGAUAUUUUCCAAUCUUACUUAUGAUAGCAUUAUCGAAUGUUUUUUAAUAGCCUGGGUAUGACUGUUGAGACAAACGAUUGUCUGUUGAAACAUGGCCGGAACCUCCAUAGACAGGCCAGAAUCUAACCCCUCCCCCAAUCAAAAUUAAGAUGUAUUCGUUUUGGUUACUAGUUCUCAUUCACAUAAGUCAAAGAUUGUAGCUUUAUGGAUCUAAUCUCCAAGAUGGUUUUUUGUCAGCGAGAAAGAAUCGUGUAAAAUGGAAGGACAAAUUUUUGAGGUACAAAACACUACAAAAUAUCUAACCUUACAGCAUCUUAUGUGAUAAAUCUACUGUUUUAUGUGUUAACAGCAUCGAUUGUUACCAUUACAUUAUGUGUUACUAGGGUCAAGCUAAAUCGAUGUGAUAGAUGUUAACUUACCGUGACAAUUGACUCCUUUGUAGCCAUAUGAGCAAAUACAUUUGUAAUCCGCGCCAACUUGGACACAGAUUCCACCGUUUUCACAUGGAUUCUUCUUACAGAGGUCUGGGACUAGUAAAUAAGCAGACAACGUAUCCAUGAAAUUGUGCUUACAUGUUGUUAUCAAGCUAACUGCUCACUUGCUAUAUACAAAAGGUCACGUUGCUCUUCGGGAAAUCUAGUAUACUGUUUCUUUGAAAUAGGUCGUGCCAUGUUGGUUAUAGACAAUUAAAGGUACAAAAUUUGUAUCAUUCUAUGUAAUGCUAAGUGGCCAGCUACGCUGUUUAAAAGGAAUCAUUUUAUAAGGGACCUACAUGUGGAAGCUCGAAAAAAUAAUGAACUUAAGAAACUGGAUCUUGAGCUAGGCUCCUUAUGCAACAAGCUUGUAGCGCAGGCAAGUAACUGCGGGCUACGGACUCACACCGUGGUGUUGUUUACCGAAUGUUUACCAGGGACUUAAAACACAGAACUUACUUGAACAAUCUUCACCAUGGUAACCAUCCAAACAUUGGCAGCUAAAGCCACGAUCAAGCAUAACACAAGUAGCGCCAUUUUUACAUGAAGUAGCGGGACAUGUUGUUUGCUUUGUCACCUGCUUGACAACAGUUGCUGCAACGCAAAAUAUAUUAUAGCGAAGUUUGCAUUUCACAUAAAUAUUUUCAUCAACAGUAGUUAAAAUUAUCUAAAAUUCUUAGGUUUCUUGACUGGGGCUUCGAGGGCCAAGCGCUAACUAUUCAUUUUCUAUCAAACCUCCAUAGACUGUUAGUUCGCGUCCAUAUUAUGGUCAAUGGUACCAAUGCUUUAGUUGCGGUUUAAUCUUUGCUUCAUAUAUACCUCUUGGUACAAGCAAUUAAACAAGUAUUAUAGAUAAAGAGAUAUACAACGAAGACAUAACGUACUUGUAUUACAACUGCAAUCUGCGCACGAGAAUCCUUCUCUGCAAAGGCAUUCAAAAGAGGUUCCCACAUCCUUGCACAAGCCGCCAUUCUUGCAAGGGCUAUCCCGGCAAGGGCUGAUUUUCUCUAUAAAGAGAGACACAUAUUUGAGCACAUUCCACAAAGUACUUUUCUAUGCAUAAUGUGUCUUUCUCCUAACCAGGAAUUUUCUCUAUUCAGGGGGCUAAUUUUCUUGGCAUAAAUGUUGCGGGGACGAAAAGAGGAAUUAAACCGCGAGUCAAAACGUCAAAGAGCAUGCGUAAUAACGAGUGUGAUAAAUACACUCUUUUCUUUGCUUUGAUAAAAAGAAAGGGGGUGCUAAAAGAAGGUGCGAAGGGGGUGCUGAAAGAGGGCGAGAAAGGGAUGAGAGCAGGAGUUACAAGAGAAUCCAAAAGGGGGUUAAAGGGGAUAAAAAAGGAGUGAGUAGGAUGUUAGGGGGGGGAGAGAAAGGUGAAAAGGGGAUAAGGUGAAAGAGGUAAGAGGUGGAUAAGAAGGAGGGGGGAAGAGAGAAAAAAAAUGGGUGAGAGGUGGCCUGUUUUGUCUUCGCAACAAAAAGUAACUCCAGUAGGACCUGGUGUUGGCUAAUGACAUAAAUCAAUAUGCCUCGAUCCUAAAGUAGUUGUUUUGUAGAAGAGUAACUUACCUUAAAAAUUCGUUUUUCGAUUUUAAUUCACUCCUAAAUUUUAAUGGGUUAACUUGAACUUUGCAAAGAGCGUCGCGUGGAUUCACCAACAUUUUAAAAAGCUUCAAAUUUUAAAUAAAAUAACCUUACGGCUUUUAGUGAUUAAAUGAGCUUGUAACAUACAGGAAACUCAACAGAUAAAACAACGCUUUUUAGUUUGAAAUCGUGUUUGGGUCAAUGAUCAAUGAUGUUUCAUGCAUCUUUCUCCAAAAACUUGUCAAUGGUCAUAUUGAAUUUAUAUGCAAUAUUCCAUCCAAUUUUAAAUGAAACUCGUUCCAACAUACCUUCGCAUAGUUUUCCUUCAUAUUCUGCAGAACAUUGGCAGUUGAAAUCAGAUUCUAACUCAACACAUGUGCCACCGUUUCGGCAAGGAUUCGAAAAGCACGAGGCGGGAACUAAAUGAAAAAUAAAGACUCGAUAAACAUUUAACACGAUGGCAUACUGAGCAACAGAAAACGUCAAAGUUUCCAUUGUCAUUGCCAAUGAACUUAUAACAUUAUAAUUGUCUAUGGUAUAACACGAACAGUAUAAAAGAGCGGAAUAACAUGAACGCAAACGAUAUUAUGAUUUCUCUUUGACUAUAUUGUGUGCUAUUAUGAGAUUAUGCUAGAUUUUCUCAGAAAUAUAGUUAUUUGAUUGCUACUUUCUCGACGUUAGAGAGACUCGCGUAAAUACCGACUAACUUAAUUUGCAUAGACAUUUUAAAACGCAUUUAAAAAUGAAGAGGUACUAUAUGUUGGCAAAAUGGAUCUGCAAAUAGCUACUGCACGGCUGUUUCUGAUAGGGGGAGGCUCGUGCCCCCUGUGACUCUGAUUUUCAUUUAGUUCCUAUCUAUUGAGACUAAGUUCCUAUCUAUUUGCUUGUUUUCCAGUCCCCUAACCCCAUUAGAGGUCCGGAGCACAGGCUACUAUUUAUUUGAACUUUCAAAUAUUACAAACUACAUUCAGUUUCCACAAAUUUUAUUACUGUUUUAUUCCGUUGUAUCGGCAUGGUUUUAGAAACCAUUUAAUUUCUCCCACUUCCUAAAAGGCGCUCAAAUUCAAGAGUGCUUUCCUUGAGUUUUCAAUGAAAUAUCGAGACCUACGUGAACAGCUUGGGCCUUUGUAAUCCGCCUGGCAUGAACAUAGGUAUCCAUUAUCAUGAAGAGUGCAGGCUCCAUCGUUCUUGCAUGGAUUUGGUUUGCAUGUUACAGCAGGAACUGAAAUAAGAAAGUAACAGGUUUCAAUUCAUACUAAUGUGAGACAUGACAGGGCUGUUAUUGUGCACGAUGAUGCAGUGCUAAGCUUAGUCCAAGAUCAAGUGGCCUACUAAAAAUUUUUAAAAUGAAUCCAGAAAUUCUUUUAUCUUUGCUUGUGCAACUUCAGGACUUGGGUUAACAUAAGCUAUAAUUGCAAUCGAGCAAUUUUAAUCUUAAUUGAAACUUUUUUAGUUGAACUUUAUAUCUAUAACUUCCUUUCCUAUUUUAUCGUAAAAAGUACAGAUUAAACUUGGGAUGAUAAAAGGGCAGCUGUUAGAUUGAAAUAUGCAGUCAGCUGGGAUACAGUAAUCGAAAUAUGUUGCAACUUGUGAUUGAGACAGUAGACGUUUUCGAGAGAAGCGUCUAUAACAUCUUAGAGUUUGAUGUAACUGUUAAGGAAUUUCCGCCAUACUUUCACAAUAAUGUCCGCGAAACCCGCUUCUACAACUACACUUGAAGCUUGCGCCUCUGUGGUGGACACACGAUCCUCCAUUGAGACAUGGUCGAUGGUGGCAAGGGUUGUGGUGGUGGUGAUGAUGAUGAUUAUGAAGACCCAGGGACAGAACAUCAUCGCCUAGGUUUAACAUGCCUUCAUUUCCUGCAAUAACAAAUACGUCACACAUUAAUGGUCAGGGUUUUUCUCGAUGUCACCCUUCCAAGGCAGAAACAGGUUUGGUCAGUCUUGAUAGCAAAAUCAAGGUCACAGGUCAGGCAGUAUAUAAUGAGAAAUUUAAGUAGAGACUCAUUCCGCAAAAAGUUGAUCUUCUUUUAGGUAUGGUUAUUACCGCCACAACCAAGGCAGUAGGGUGAUCGAAGAAUACUUGAUGUAAGCAAAGUACGACCAACUGGGACGGAAUCGCACCUUUAACCAUUCCCCCCCUCCUAGACCAGGUAUACCCGUUCCUGGCAGUCAAGUGCGUAAACUAUUUGUCAAAUUGAAGCAAUAACAUUCAUUUUCUUAAGUGAAUUGAUUGAUUAAUAACUUGAUACCAAUUGCGCGUAAAGAAGGUGAUUUCUUUUGUUGGGUAGGUGAUUCACUUGGAUGUGAGUAAUUGACUGCCUUAAAAGUACACAUGAGGUAAGAUAUACAUUUACAAAAUGUUGAAGUGUAAAGGAAUGUUCUGGCGCCGCGUCCUAGAUAAAGUGGCUUUACUUAUAAGUAAAGUAUAGUAUACCAACACACUUGUAUUUGCAAUUCAAUUUUACUCACAGAAAUCUGGGGUUGUAUAUGGUUCCAUUUAGUUUUUUAGCUUUAUUAAAACGAUUUCUUGAUUGCAAGACAGGUACGUUUGUAACGAAUUUCUAUGCUGGUCACAGUGAGUAUAUCAAAAUAGAAAUCUACCAAGAUCGUUAGGUAAAUUGUACCUUCAAUAACUUACUGCAGUAACUAACAGUAUCUGUUUACAACAGAGACAUUAGAUUUAGAUCAGUCUCUCUAUCCCAUGAAUAUAUUUUUUUAGCUCCACAUGCUACAGUUUUAAGUUUGGCAAAGUAGUAAGAAACUGUGGUAGGAACUACUGGACGGGAAGAACCCACCCCGGGUAUUGUAUUUGCAGUUAGGUUAUAGUAGGACAAAUUAAAUACUCUUCAGGUGUAGGUUUGUCCCUUACCUCCCAUUGCAAAAUAAACAGUAAAGUAAAUAUAGGCUGCCUACCGUAUGCGUGUGAGAUAUCGUGGAAAGCAUUGGGAGAAAGCUCUUGAAAGUUAUUUGGAAGGUCAACCAGCUCAGACCCAGCAGGCAACGAUUGCUGUGCGAAAUUUCCUUCAUCUGCAUCAUCAGCAAUAAUCACUGGGUUGUGGCUGCCGAGCCCAUACAGACUGCUCCUCCGAAAUUUUGGAGUGGGUACUGUAUCCUUAGCUGUACCUUUUUUUUCUUGUGCAAACGGAAUUGUAUGCGCAAAACCCUUUGCAGCGAUUUUUUUAAUUCUUUGUGAAAACCAUUCAGGGUACAACCUUAAGUUUCUCCUUUGAACUUCAAUGUUUUGUGUGUUUUUUGCAGACGAGGAAUCAUGGUUGACUGCGUCUUGUGAUCUUGAUUUGCUCUUAUCGAUAAGAAAUGCUCCAAACUCUGAUUCUUGUGGUAAAGCAUCGUUUUCUCCAUUUGCUGCAAAAAAACACCACGAUAAAAAGACAAAAUGUAUAGCUAGCAACAUAACUAAAGUUUUUUUUCAAGUAAACUUGUGCAAUUUCAUACUAUCUACCAUUUUGUCCCGUACAAGUAGAUAAGAAGCGCGGGGUAUGUUAAAUGAUGGCACCAGCUCAAUUUUACACAUGACUGGGCAGCAAAAAUUGCCCCUUUAGCUGCUCGAUGAACCGAUGCUUAUGACAUUAGACCGGGUCACCCGUCGACACAAUGAAAGUUGUAAAUAAGUGGAUUUAUUGCAACGACAGCACCUAUUAACAUCAAUUUUAAAGCAGGCAAAGGUUAGUGUGUGCGGCAAAAGAAACGAAAAUAUUUGACAAUAUUUAUGUUUAUGUUAGGUUUAGAUGCCUAAUAAACCCUAUGGUUCUAUGGUAGAAAGGUAUCAAAAAGUCAAGGUGAAAUGGAAAAUAUCAAUGUUUUAGUUUCAAUUCUGAAAGCACAAAAACGACCAAAAAGAGAAUGAGAGGCAAUAAAAAGCUUGGGUCUAAAGCCAAAUGUGCAUUAAGCGAAACGCAAAAUGCAUUAAACUCAGCGAAAGCAAGCGACCAUCGAAUAGAGAGCAUGCGGACAUGAUUAUUUUAAACCCAUGCCCUGGCCGCUGCGUUUCGCUCAGCAGUUCAAUUUGGUUGAUUUUUUCAGCGAUCGCCAGCGAAAAGUUACGUAAUUUUAUGCAGAUUGCAAGAUGGCAAGCUUUGAACAGUUGUUGUCUCAGGAAGAUCAAGGCAGAUCUGUGGACAGCAUAGAGCAGAUGUCAAAAGAUAGAAAUUCUGUAUCUCGUAUUUUUAAUGAAUAUUUUUAAGAUAUCGAGGGAAAAACUCAUGAUCGCAAAGUUUCAUCUCCAAAAUAAGGUGAUGAAAUUCGUCUCUCUUUUAACGUUCACAAAAUAACUUUGUCGCCUUCUGGACUCUAUAUUUGCAACAUAAUCUCUGUCUUAUAGCUAAAAGAAACGCAAAACGCUGCCUAUUCGCCAUGUAUGAUGUUGAUUAAGGGCACACGAAGGCGCCAGAAAUGAAGAGGGAAACAUCUUUAACCGCAUUUCGCUGGUGAACAAAGGAAAUAAUGGAAAUUCAACUGCCAGCCGCGCAAAGCGAUCAUUGAGUUUCGCUUUAAUGGAGAUUGGCCUUCAAUUUUUGCAACUUCCAGCCAACUGUAAACUCCCCCCACCCCAAAUUGUGAUGUCCCCGAUCAUCGUUCUUAUGCUGUUAAGUGAUUAGUGAUACUAAAGCAUGGCCACCUUUUCACUGCAGUAAUUCACUUCUUAAACGAAAAAUGCCUGUAAAUGCCCUUUGCUUUAUACUGGAGUUUAAAUACAUUUUUUCAAUCAAUGUCUUACUGUAAUGCAGCACUCCAAUUGUAAAUUUAACCUAAUGUGAAAUAAGGAAAAUUUUUAAACCCCUAAAGGUUGAUUUGCCGGUAAGGAAUAUCAUUCCAGACCGCCCCUGAUGGUCCAAGGCUAGGGGUCUAAGAAGAUGUCGAACAAACCAAUGUUUCAGCAAAAAAUUGUUACAGACCACUCCCUUCACAGCGCCAAAAAACAACCUGUAGUUGAAAAUGAAAAAUGAAUAAGUUUCUCGUUUGUACGCUCCGAUGGCUGGUUUUUUCAAACAUAAGAACAGAGUCCUAUGUAGCUUUUUGGGCUUCCCUUUUUCAUUUCAGUUCUCUUCAUGGCCUUAAAUCGUUUCAGGCAAAACGGGUAAAAACUGUUUUAUCCAACCUUAGGUAGGUAAGUAAAAAUAAAAUAUGCUAAAGGUUCAAAGAAAGUCCAUUCUUCUAGCAUCAAAAUUUGCAAAGUCGGAAUGACAUCUAACAUCAACAACGACAUGAAACUUUCAGUGGCUUGUUUAUGAUCCUUCCUUUUUGACUUGUCUUCGGCAUCUUCGCAGCGUUCCGGCAUUAUAUCAUCUCGCUUUAAUGAUUCGUCUAUAAAGGCUCCUCCGCCUCUCCACUCCAAUCUUCUCUUUCCACUGUGGAAUUAUGCGGCUCUGGUACCCAGGGUACUUCAGUAAGCGCUCCAUCGCAGCGCAUCUGAAAACGAUCAUUCAGUUUUCUAGGCAUUGUAAAAAACUGCAUGAAGUGGAGAAUGAGUCUCUCGAUUGAUUCUUGGAAUCAGGACCGCCGAUAGGGGGGAAACCUUAUAAAGUAACGAUUUCCAUUUUUAAGAAUGGAAUUGAUCAAAGGUAACCAAAGUAUGCCUUCAAAAUGUUUCAAGGUAUACUUAAAACGUUUUAACUAAUUACAAGCAAAUGAGUGCAAUGUAUUUUAAAGGGCCUCUUCAGCCAAAAAACAAUUUUUUUAUUGACUAAAACGUUAGCAUCUGGUGCAUGUAUUAUGGCAUGUUUUUGCAAAAUUCCAAGUAGUUUUGAAGUAAUAAUGCUUUAAAGUUGCACCUUUCCGAGAAAAGAACGACAAAAGCCGAAUCAGUUUGGUGACAUUCUGACGUCACAGUGUGCGGCUCUCGUUCACCAUGAAUUUCGUAUAUCUUCCACCGAAUCGUGAAGGAGUCAUUGUCACGCGUUGAUAACUGCAUCUAAAUCUAGAGCAGGAGCUUUUUAGGAUCGAAAAGUAUUAAAUGUUUACAAUCAUUCUAAGUUUGCGGGUCGGAAUGUGUCAAUGCUGUGUCACGACUUUGUUUUGAUCACCUGUGUAGGCCCACAAAGCUACGGCUUCCUGUUCCAGCUCUUCCCUCGCGUAUAAUUAAUCGAAAUUGACACUCCAGUUGUUCUCCAGAAACGAUGAACAACUGAAGGCUUCAAAAUUGAUAUCUGAAAUGUUCAAACUAAAAGCCGUUGGAACAGAACUGAGAGUACCAUCACUUGCAGUGUUCAAUUUGCGAAUCGCCGUCAUAUAUCAUUGCCGUCUUUCGAUUCGGUUUGAGGCAAGACGAACGAAAUACACUAUGACGUCAAAAUUGCGACAGAUUGUCACCAAACCGAAAAUUUUUUUGUUGGUUAAUUCAAUUCAAUUAUCGAAAUGCAAGAGCUUAUAUCUCACAAACUGUAAAAAGUAUCAAAAAACAAAUAACGAAUUCGUGAUCAGCAGGUUCAACUCCUUUAGAUUAGCCAAUAAAAUGCAAGUGCAAAUUUUGGCUGGAGAGACCCUUUAAGCUAAUGGAAGGGCUUGGUCGCAUAAAUUUUGCACUCAUUUUGUACUCAUUUUGCCUCUGCUUUCCAAUCCCAGGGCCUUCAAAACCUCUUGUUGUCCCUGCUUAUAAUGAAUGCAUAACGAGCAAAGAUACUUCAUUUGGAUCAGGACUCACCGGAUCAGGAAAAAGUUGAUCCUAACAGCAGAAUUUUUUGAUAAUGAUUAUUGUUGUUAAGGGAUUUCCUUUUCGAUUAGAGACCAUAUUACGGCCAACGAUCACGAGCAUAUUUUGCGCAGGGGUGGACUGGCUGGUCGGGCUAUUCGGGCGAUCGCCCGAAGGGCCGGUCGGUUUAAGGGCCGGCUGAUAAAUGUGCAAGAAAAUAAAUUAGCUUAAAAAGUGAAUGCGAGGCAAAAAACUAUACCCAUGCGUUGAUCUGUUUGCCUUAAAUUUUCAGAGAUUUUCAGAGACAGGGAUUUUCCGGGAAAGAAUAAAUAUACACGCGAGUACUCCAAAACCAUCAAACUUAUGAAUUCAUUAUUGUCACCGCAGCCCAAACACACUCCUUCAGGAAAAAUAUUAUUAUAUUUAUCAUAUUCUUGUUAUAUUUUCUCUUGACGGUAUUUCCUUUUUGGCGACAUAUUAUACGGUAACACCCCUGUUUCAAUGCGAUACAUAAGAUUUUAACCUGCCCUGAUGCCUUUUUAUUUAGCUUUUGCUUGAAGCUGGUCAUGUCUUUGCCUAUGCACAAGCUAUUGCUCAAUGUAAUAAAUUAAAAAGUCCAAAAAUUGGAGUUCACUAAGCGAUUUGCUCUGUGAUGUGGAGUAAUGAAGAGGACAAGGGAAGUACGUAGAACAAGGGAAGAGCAAAAAAACUUCAACCAAAGGUGGUGCACAGAAAUUUCUUGAGGAAAAGCUGCGAGACUUAAAAAAGGAUUCAGCUACGAUACAAAUCUUUUUUUAUCAAGCAAAAGCCACAAACGUCACAAAAAACAGCAGGGUCUUGCUCUUUUCAAUAAACUCAUAUUAGUUAUGGUAAGUUUAUUAGGCCUAUACUAUCAUAAGUCAAAUGCACCCCCCCCAACAGGGGUAUGGUGCUGCACGAUAAAAUUUCAACAGGGGUCCCCAUGUUUUCUUUUUGGGGUCAGAAAUUGACAGCUUGAUAUUUUUGGGUUGCUGAAAAUCAUUGUGGUUUUUCGGAGGAUUAGGAAAUUAAUUGUCACAAGUUGAGUGUGAUAGAAGCUUUUCCACCUCAAAUAUAUAAAGAACAGAUAACGUAGUAAUUUUUCGCAGCCAAACCUGGAGUCCUUCAUGUUAAUGUUCUUAGAAAAACACCUGUUAGAUGACAUCCAGAACGAUCACAUUAUCAACAUAUAAGAUCCUGUAUUUAG